CCUACGGGUGGCAGCAGUGGGGAAUAUUGGGCAAUGGGCGCAAGCCUGACCCAGCCACGCCGCGUGAAGGAAGAAGGCUUUCGGGUUGUAAACUUCUUUUGUCAGGGACGAAGCGAGUUACGGUACCUGACGAAUAAGCCACGGCUAACUACGUGCCAGCAGCCGCGGUAAUACGUAGGUGGCAGGCGUUAUCCGGAUUUACGGGGUGUAAGGGGCGUGUAGGCGGGGAGGCAAGUAAGACGUGAAAACCACGGGCUCAACCUGUGGCCUGCGUUUGAAACUGGCAAACUGGAGUGUGUGAGAGGCUAGUGGAAUUCGAGGUGUAGGAGUGAAAUCCGUAGAUAUCUGGAGGAACAUCAGUGGCGAAGGCGACUAUCUGGCACAUAACUGACGCUGAGGAGCGAAAGCGUGGGUAGCAAACAGGAUUAGAUACCCCUGUAGUC
This 443-nucleotide ribosomal RNA is filed under the name uncultured bacterium. RNAcentral describes it as "partial 16S ribosomal RNA". It matches the Rfam family "Bacterial small subunit ribosomal RNA", at positions 338 to 795 of the family's 1533-position model. The record is from RNAcentral.